Molecule: long non-coding RNA, 3081 nt
Organism: Sapajus apella (tufted capuchin)
Lineage: Eukaryota; Metazoa; Chordata; Mammalia; Primates; Cebidae
Exons: 2
Source: RefSeq, a predicted model, not a curated record
CCCACCUCAGCCUCCCAAAGUGCUGGGAUUACAGUUGAGUUAUAGCUGCUGCUGCCCUGGUGGUGAGGGGUGUCUCAACAUCUGUCCCAUGUCUCUUUCGUAGAAUAAUAUCCUCCCUCAGCCCCUUUCCCCUGUACCUUCACUUCAAGGCUUGCUGUGUAGUUAAUUCUGCCUCAGGCAAUUUUUCUCAUCUGGACUUUUGUCUUCCUCAUUCCACUUAUUCUGUUUUCCAAUGCUUAUCUGGGAACCUCAAGGAAAUCUCUUCCAACCUUUCUUUGCUGUUGGUGUAUUCCUAUUCAUGAGUUAAAACCCAAACCAAACAUACUCUAAUCAGGGCAGUUGAACUUGAAAAGAGCCAGUGAGAAACCUGAAAGGAGGAAAAGCCUGGCCACAAGGCUCCAAGUGAAAUGAAACUCAUAAACACCAGCUUCCUCAACCUUGAAAGCUUCUAAAAGUGCCCCUAAGCCUCCUUUUGAAUCACUAAAAGCCUCCACUUACCUCCCUGUCUUGCUCAAAUAAAAUUUCCUCUUUCUCAGCCACCAGUCUUAAAAAAAAAAAAAAGCAAAACAAAACACUUCACACCUCCUUCUUACUCAGUUUUACACUGGUGGAAAGAGAACAGGAUUUAGAGUUGGAAGGCCAACGUGAGAGUCCUGCCACCACUUAGUAGCUAUGUGGCUUUGGAAAAGUUUCUAGGCUUUCUGUGCCUAAAUUUCUUCUACAGUGACAAUAUUACUGUGUAUUACCAAAUUAUACACUGUGAUGUGGUCAAGUUUAUGUAUGUGAAGAACUCUUUCAAGCUAACAAAGCACCAUAUUCAUUCAUGUCAGAUAUUUCUAAUGUUACACCAGUUUUUAAUAUCGUGUUUUAUUUGCACAUACAUAACUUAAUAUUUUAAUUACAUUAGAGGCUAAGAUAGUUUUCGACCAGCAUGAAAACUAAAACACCAUAACAUGCCUUUUAUGGUGAAAUGUGUUUGAACUUCAAACAACAAGUUUACAAAACUUAUUAUGUAAUAUACCCUAUCAGUAAAUUAAUUGAAGGCUGCCUCUAGAUUGUUAGGUGUGGAUGACAGGAACUUUAUUUCAUACUUCUUUUGUACCUGCCAUUGGUGUUUAACAUAGUGUUGGGCGCGUAACAGGUGAUUAGACAGUCUUGUUGAUAGUUUGGAGAGCCGCCUUAAUCAUGACCUAGAAUCUUUCUUAUUUAAACAGCAGUCUAAGUGCUUUGACUAAUGUUAAACUGACUAAUUUGUUUUGACGCUGAGAAUGAGAAAUUUGAGGUCCUUCUCAGAGAUCUGUGUUGGUGGUGUACUAUUUCUUUUUAUCCCUGAGUUGGAUAAAUUAGGGUAAACAAAAUCAAAUACUUGUAAAAAUACUGUACAGAGGACUCACACAUGUAUGCUGGUUCCCUAGCAGGGUAAUUCCAUCAGUGCCUUAAAAAAAAAAAAUUACAUUCCUUCUCAACCAGUCAUGAGAGCCAUUUUCCAAUCUCUUAUCUUGUUGGGGUGUGUUAGAAAAAUAUACCAAGUGCAAGAACCUGUAAGCCUGGAGUUUAUUAACCUGCUUAAAACCAGUUUUACUUCAAAUAGGUGAUCUUUAGUGUCGACCAUUGUACUUUUGUCUGCAGGGAACAACUCGUUUCAUCCUGUCCUCAGUAAGCAGAUGAGAGGCAGGGUUGAUGUUAGACAGAAGCCAAGGUUUUGUGGAGCAGUAAGAUAAAAUUAUGAAGGAAGCCUAUUGAAUUCCAGGAGAGUUUAAAGAAAAGGGUAGGAUACUUAGUUCACAAGGGUAUGGGUGGGCUUCUGAGUGGCGGCAGCAGGCUAGACCUGGGGAUGUUCCAGUACAAAUUCCUAAAUGUAUGCAGAGGUUGUGUAAUUGCAUUUAUCACUGUUGAAUGUGUUAUUGGUUUGAUUUGGUUUCGCUGCUCUUAAGUUCCUUUUGUCUUAUCUUGCAAGCAUAUCACUGUGAGUACUUAAAUCAUUAACAACUCAUUAAAACUCUUUUGGCCAUUUUCAUUUUCUACCAAGCUGAAACCUGGGUGUGGUAGAAACUUGCGCAGGCCUGCUUGGCUGUGCCACCUGAGCAGCUCCUAGCAUUUUGGCUGUCAAAAGGCCACUGAAUAAACAAACGGAUAAGAAUGGCGGACAUAAUCUCUGUAGAUCCUUGAAAAGAAGGAAGGGGCUGCAGGAUACAGGAAUAGUCAAGGAUCCUUCUCUUCAACCUGAAGGACUCUUCAGCAGUUAACACCUUGACUCUCUUUUUAUGCAACACUUUUUUAGUACUCUCAGAAACUCUAUUUAUACUUGCUCUUUUCUUCUUUCAGGAUUUCUACAGCUUCAUUUAGAGACUGAAAGUGCUUUUAGUUUUGUUACCUCAUUUAUUCUCUAGGGGCAGGAAUUAAGGUCUUGAUGGAGAUGAAGUGGGCUGUGGAGGCAGUCUACCAUAGGCAGUUGCAGUAGCUGUUCUUCUGGUUACUUGUUGAGAGAGAGAUAUAUAUGUACACAUACAUAUACACACACGCACACAAAUAUACACCUUACCUUAUUCCAGGGACAGUGUCACAGUUUAGGAUCUCCCCGAAGAGAAUUUUAGUAUUUGUAAUUUUUGUAUAUUUUAAAUAGCUUAUUUGUUUAUGGCUUGUAAGUAAAGAAAAAAGGUUUCUCUGCUUUUGACUUGAACUGUUGAACUAUUUGUCCCUUGGUAAACUGAUCAAUUGCCACGUGGAUUAAGAGAAAGCCAUUCAAUCAAUCAAAAUGUUUCUGCUACAUUGGCAUGCUUUGUAAUGGAAAUAAAAACGACAGCAUGUUUUUGUCAGUUGAAAUGAAUAGGUUUCUUUUAGAUCGAUGCUGAAGUUGGUAUUAUAGGUAAUCUAGCCUAUGAAUGCUAAUGAUUAAUUAUGGAAAUGCCUAAUGGAAGCACAUGAACUUACCCCUAGAUCUUAUAGAUAUAUCUACCUGAUGGUGAAGUAUAUGCCAGGGUUGGCAUUUCUCAUGAGUGCUGGUGUGAUCCGCAACAUAGCCUCUGUGGUACCAGAGGGCCCUACACUGUCGUCAAAGACAUUCAACUCAGUGCAUUAAAA